Molecule: unclassified non-coding RNA, 277 nt
Filed under: Hevea brasiliensis (rubber tree)
Lineage: Eukaryota; Viridiplantae; Streptophyta; Magnoliopsida; Malpighiales; Euphorbiaceae
Source: RNAcentral
GCCAUAUCAGCAUAACUUCCUGCAUUAGAGAAGUUGCUCUUAACGUGCUAACAAAGUAAAACUCAAGGUACCAUUUUGUCAAAAUUCAACCACUGGCCCCUAAGUGUUGAUGAGCGAAACCUGAGGAUACUAUUUUGUACUUUUCCCAAAAAUAAAAUACAUACGAUUUCAUAAAUUUUAUUUUUAUGGGACAGGCUUAGUCAAAAGAAGCACUCAAACUAUACCAAGAUUAAGCCUAUGCAAUAUAAUGUUAGUAGUAUGCCCUAUAGCAUAUCAU